RNAcentral lists this ribosomal RNA (374 nucleotides) under uncultured bacterium. RNAcentral's name for it is "partial 16S ribosomal RNA". It matches the Rfam family "Bacterial small subunit ribosomal RNA", at positions 338 to 729 of the family's 1533-position model. The record is from RNAcentral.
CCUACGGGUGGCAGCAGUGGGGAAUAUUGCACAAUGGGGGAAACCCUGAUGCAGCGACGCCGCGUGAGGGAAGAAGUAAUUCGUUACGUAAAGCUCUAUCAGCAGGGAAGAAAAUGUCGGUACCUGAGUUAGAAUCCCCGGCUAACUACGUGCCAGCAGCCGCGGUAAUACGGAGGGGGCCAGCGUUAUCCGGAUUUACUGGGUGUAAUGGGAGCGUAGACGGUGUGACAAGUCAGAAGUGAAAUGCCGCAGCUUAACUGGGGAACUGCUUUUGAUACUGGCGAACUAGAGAGUGGGUGCGGUAAGCGGAAUGCAUGGUGUAGCGGUGAAAUGCGUAGAGAUCAGGCAGAACACCGGUUGCGAAGGCGGCUUAC